Long non-coding RNA from Nothoprocta perdicaria, 202 nucleotides. RefSeq lists it as uncharacterized. The transcript has 2 exons. The record is from RefSeq and is a predicted model, not a curated record. NCBI's taxonomy places the organism in Eukaryota, Metazoa, Chordata, Aves, Tinamiformes, Tinamidae.
AGGUGCUAAACAAAUGCAAGAAAAGAAAGCAUCGCUGUUCCAAGUUGCUUACUAUGCAAAAGAAAAUCAAGAGAUUUCUUUGAAGAAAAGGCUACAGAAUUUAAAGCAGUUCCAACUUGAUAUGAUGUGCACACAAUUGAAAAAGCAGACGGAAAAGGCUCUCCACCCUGAGAGGCCAGUGGUGAGCAGUCCAGUGAGAGCU